Molecule: small nucleolar RNA, 76 nt
Organism: Pygocentrus nattereri (red-bellied piranha)
Lineage: Eukaryota; Metazoa; Chordata; Actinopteri; Characiformes; Serrasalmidae
Product: Small nucleolar RNA SNORD66
Source: Ensembl
CUCCAGUGAUGACCUCCGUUUUGUGCCACGUGUCUGGGCCACUGACCUACACUGAUGGGAAUGAGGAACUGAGGAG